This 253-nucleotide ribosomal RNA is filed under the name uncultured bacterium. RNAcentral's name for it is "partial 16S ribosomal RNA". It matches the Rfam family "Bacterial small subunit ribosomal RNA", at positions 524 to 776 of the family's 1533-position model. The record is from RNAcentral.
UACGAAGGAUCCAAGCGUUAUCCGGAUUCAUUGGGUUUAAAGGGUGCGUAGGCGGGCUUAUAAGUCAGCGGUGAAAUCUCUCGGCUUAACCGAGAAACUGCCGUUGAUACUGUAGGUCUAGAGUACAGAUGAUGUUGGCGGAAUAUGACAUGUAGCGGUGAAAUGCUUAGAUAUGCCAUAGAACACCGAUUGCGAAGGCAGCUGACAAAACUGUAACUGACGCUGAGGCACGAAAGUGCGGGGAUCAAACAGG